UGAUAUUUAUUGGCCGCCACCCUGG
RNAcentral lists this non-coding RNA (25 nucleotides) under Rattus norvegicus (Norway rat). The record is from RNAcentral. Lineage: Eukaryota; Metazoa; Chordata; Mammalia; Rodentia; Muridae.